CCGCCCAAGAGUUCAUAUCGACGGCGGUGUUUGGCACCUCGAUGUCGGCUCAUCACAUCCUGGGGCUGAAGUCGGUCCCAGGCAUGGCUGUUCGCCAUUUAAAGUGGUACGCGAGCUGGGUUUAGAACGUCGUGAGACAGUUCGGUCCCUAUCUGCCGUGGGCGUUGGAAGAUUGAAGGGGGCUGCUCCUAGUACGAGCGGACCGGAGUGGACGAACCUCUGGUGUUCGGGUUGUGUCGCCAGACGCAUUGCCCGGUAGCUAAGCUCGGAAUCGAUAACCGCUGAAAGCAUCUAAGCGGGAAGCGAGCCCUGAGAUGAGUCUUCCCUGAUACUUUACGUAUCCUAAAGGGUUGUCGGAGACGACGACGUUGAUAGGUCAGGUGUGUAAG
Molecule: ribosomal RNA, 389 nt
Filed under: Vibrio sp. S457-15
Lineage: Bacteria; Pseudomonadati; Pseudomonadota; Gammaproteobacteria; Vibrionales; Vibrionaceae
Description: bacterial LSU rRNA
Rfam family: Bacterial large subunit ribosomal RNA
Source: RNAcentral